CGGAACAGAAGUUUUUUCAACCUGCAGGAGGAAGCUGCUGGCAUGGCAUACCCUGGCUUACUGUGGGUAAUCGUGUUCUCCACCUGUCUCGAAUCCAGCAUGACCCAGACAGUCUCUCAGUCUCAACCAGAGAUGUCUGUGCAGGAGGCAGAGACCGUGACCCUGAAUUGCAUAUAUGACACGAGUGACAGUAAUUAUUAUUUGUUCUGGUACAAACAGCCUCCCAGCAGGCAGAUGAUUCCCAUUAUUCGCCAAGAAGCUUAUAAGCAACAGAAUGCAACAGAGAAUCGCUUCUCUGUGAACUUCCAGAGAGCAGCCAAAUCCUUCAGUCUCAAGAUCUCAGAGUCACAGCUAGGGGAUGCCGCGAUAUACUUCUGUGCUUAUUUGAGCACACAGUGAGAGGAGCAACAGGGAGAGGCUUACAGAAACCUCAGACCUCAGCAUCUGUGCAAAGAUAUAGAGGGAGUGUUCAGAGUCACAGGAACACAGAGAAAAUCAUUGUUUUCUUGGGAGGAAAAAAAAAGUUGUAUCUAACUAUAGGAAACACAGAGAGGAUGUCUAUAUGCUGUAAUUCUCAAAAUAAUAAUUUUUUAAAAAUGAAU
Carlito syrichta (Philippine tarsier) is the source of this 602-nucleotide non-coding RNA. NCBI's taxonomy places the organism in Eukaryota, Metazoa, Chordata, Mammalia, Primates, Tarsiidae. The record is from the annotation of a RefSeq genome assembly.